Molecule: ribosomal RNA, 404 nt
Filed under: uncultured bacterium
Lineage: Bacteria
Description: bacterial SSU rRNA
Rfam family: Bacterial small subunit ribosomal RNA
Source: RNAcentral
CAGGGAAUAUUGCUUAAUGGGCGAAAGCCUGAAGCAGCAACGCCGCGUGUGUGAAGAAGGCCUUCGGGUUGUAAAACACUUUUUGAGGGGAUGAGGAAGGACAGUACCCUCAGAAUAAGCCUCGGCUAACUACGUGCCAGCAGCCGCGGUAAAACGUAGGAGGCGAGCGUUAUCCGGAUUUACUGGGCGUAAAGCGCGUGCAGGCGGCACGGCAAGUUGGAUGUGAAAGCUCCCGGCUUAACUGGGAGAGGUCGUUCAAAACUGCCGAGCUAGAGUGCGGGAGAGGGAGGUGGAAUUCUGGGUGUAGUGGUGAAAUGCGUAGAUAUCCGGAGGAACACCAGUGGCGAAAGCGGCCUCCUGGUCCGCAACUGACGCUCAGACGCGAAGGCUAGGGUAGCAAACGG